This 84-nucleotide small nuclear RNA is filed under the name Salmo salar (Atlantic salmon). RNAcentral describes it as "U4 spliceosomal RNA (ENSSSAG00000035383.2)". It matches the Rfam family "U4 spliceosomal RNA", at positions 1 to 86 of the family's 138-position model. From Rfam's summary of the family: U4 small nuclear RNA (U4 snRNA) is a component of the major U2-dependent spliceosome. The structure of U4 snRNA from yeast and human has been reported. The record is from RNAcentral. Lineage: Eukaryota; Metazoa; Chordata; Actinopteri; Salmoniformes; Salmonidae.
AUUCUUUCGCAGAGGCGAUAUCAUAACCUGUGAGGUCCAGCUGAGGAGUGAUUAUUGCUGGUUGAAAACAUCCCAAAACCCUGC